This 220-nucleotide long non-coding RNA is filed under the name Crocodylus porosus (Australian saltwater crocodile). RNAcentral's name for it is "lncRNA (ENSCPRG00005001683.1)". The record is from RNAcentral. Lineage: Eukaryota; Metazoa; Chordata; Crocodylia; Crocodylidae.
UCUAGAGCUCCAGAAGACAUGCUAGAGCUGGACACUGAGAUCAGAGCAGAACACUUAAAGAAUUGUCAUGCCAGGGAGCCUGUAAGAAGAUAUUAUCCUGAUGGGCAGAUAUUCUCUCUUCUUUUUCCAGAUGGGACAGGACAGGUUUAUUAUCCAUCUGGUAACAUCGCCAUCCUGAUCACGGAUGUCAACAGAGUUCUGUUUACAUAUGUCAUUCUCG